AACCCAUGGUGAGGUUUUCAAGAGGUCAUUGUAUCUCUCCCAUGCAUCGUAGAGUGUUUCUAAAUCCAUCUGUACAAAAGAAGAGAUAUCAUUAUGUAAUU
Molecule: small nucleolar RNA, 101 nt
Filed under: Gossypium barbadense (sea-island cotton)
Lineage: Eukaryota; Viridiplantae; Streptophyta; Magnoliopsida; Malvales; Malvaceae
Also listed under: 1 other name
Description: Plant small nucleolar RNA R71
Rfam family: Plant small nucleolar RNA R71
About the family: R71 is a member of the C/D box family of snoRNAs containing the C (UGAUGA) and D (CUGA) box motifs. Multiple nearly identical copies of this snoRNA have been identified in Arabidopsis, and it is thought to function as a 2'-O-ribose methylation guide for 18S ribosomal RNA.
Source: Rfam by way of RNAcentral